GACGAACCAAGCAAACGUUGUUCGGAAUCACUGGGCAUAAAGGGCGCGUAGGCGGCUUGACAAGUCAGGGGUGAAAUCCGGCAGCUUAACUGUCGCAGUGCCUUUGAUACUGUCGAGCUCGAGGGAGGUAGGGGUCUGUGGAACUUCCGGUGGAGCGGUGAAAUGCGUUGAUAUCGGAAGGAACGCCGGUGGCGAAAGCGACGGGCUGGAUCUCUUCUGACGCUGAGGCGCGAAAGCUAGGGUAGCGAACGGG
RNAcentral lists this ribosomal RNA (253 nucleotides) under uncultured prokaryote. RNAcentral's name for it is "partial 16S ribosomal RNA". It matches the Rfam family "Bacterial small subunit ribosomal RNA", at positions 524 to 776 of the family's 1533-position model. The record is from RNAcentral.